RNAcentral lists this long non-coding RNA (528 nucleotides) under Olea europaea (common olive). RNAcentral describes it as "long non-coding RNA (OEUR_LNC002902)". The record is from RNAcentral. Lineage: Eukaryota; Viridiplantae; Streptophyta; Magnoliopsida; Lamiales; Oleaceae.
UUAUCAAAAUGUAAAGAUCCCAAAGAAUUAUUAGAAAUUUAUGAUCAAAUUUCUAAACAAGGAUCUUCAAAAACAAAUGAAUCUGAUCAAGAAGAAGAAUCUCAAUAUUCUCAAGAAACUGACAAUGGUGAUGACCUAGUUGAUCUAGGUGACUAUGAGGAAUUUCUUGCUCAAGAGAAAGCUGCAAAAGCUCAAAAGAAAACUUCAAAGAAAACUUCAAAAUGACUAUAUGGACCCAGUUCUCUUGAUGAAUUGAGAAAUUCAAGGGUCUAUCAAGCAAGAGAAAUUCUUCUCAAUCUCUGUCCAAUUCAAAAUCGGUGGUGCCACAUUUGUCAAGAUUCCUAUCAACUUUGUGUCAGACAUCAAUAUCUACUUUAAUAAAGAAAAAGAUUAUCUUUAUUAAAGAAAGUCAAAAAAUUGAAAACUUUUGACUAAAGUUGAUGCUGCUUUUCAAGAUGCUCCAUUAUGAUGUCGUCCACUUCUCUUUUCAAGAUUCUUUCCCCAAAAUGAAAGAAAUUUCAAGUCCGG